Molecule: long non-coding RNA, 784 nt
Organism: Belonocnema kinseyi
Lineage: Eukaryota; Metazoa; Arthropoda; Insecta; Hymenoptera; Cynipidae
Exons: 4
Source: RefSeq, a predicted model, not a curated record
GAUGAAGCUCUUAAAGCUGAGAUACAGAGCGGAGAUUUCUCCACGAACGAUGAAGCAUACAAAACAUUGAUGCCACAGGUUAAUCCUUGCAUAACAAGAAAAAUUAAAAGGACUAUUCAGUUGCCGCCUUCGUCUACUAGUUUGGCAACUCGUAAUCCAAAAAGCUCAUUACUCAACCCACCAUGUAAUUAUGGAUUAAAAAGAGAUGACUACAGCAAGGAAAAUUUCGUACUCAAAGUAGUUACAAAUUCAGACCCGAAGGAUAGGAGGUCAAAGGAAAGACGUUCGAGGUCAAGGGAGCAUACUCUAAGGUGAAGCCGAAAGUCAAAGGACAACUAUCUGGAAUUAAAGGGCCGGCGUUCGAAGUCCAGGGAAAGGCUUCCAGAUCUCAUAGCUCUAGGUCCAGAUUAAUGCGUGUGAAAUCGAAAGAGAGGCUAACGGAAAAGCGCACUAUAACCAAGGAAAGUCGCUCGACAUUGCAGGAGGGGAAUUUAAUAUCAGACCGAAAGUCAAAGGAAAACCACUCCAAACUACGCAGCAGUUCAUACCGAGUUCAUACCGAGCAGGCAGCCUGCAUGAAGAAACCCCAUAAGAGUGAAAGAGGCGGACCAUUUUCUAUCUCUAUCUCUCUCACUCUCUAGCCCUAAUGUGCUCCGUUUGGCGGCGGUAAAUGCUAGGGAUACAAGUCGAGUCUGGAGUUUGAAUUGUACAAUUUUGACUUGCAUUUCAUUCAAAGCUAGCUCUAAGGCGUCAAGGCAUGUUCGAGGGAUCUGUUUACAUUAUG